Molecule: ribosomal RNA, 726 nt
Filed under: Planicapritermes planiceps
Lineage: Eukaryota; Metazoa; Arthropoda; Insecta; Blattodea; Termitidae
Description: partial 16S ribosomal RNA
Rfam family: Bacterial large subunit ribosomal RNA (bases 308-521)
Source: RNAcentral
UUUUUUAGAAAUGAAUUUAAUUCAUGCGUCUUAUAUAAUUUCUGUAGUUGUUCUAUUUAUUUUUAUUUGAUGUUAAGAUUAAGGGGGAUUAGCUCUUUAUUUUAUAUUUAUAAUUGGUUUAGUUUUAGUUAAUUUUGUGGAUUUUAUAGUGAUUUUCAAUUUGAUUAUGUUAAAAUUUUAUUUGUUGUUUUAUUUCUUUUUUGUUAUUUAAUUUAUUUAUUGAAAUGUUUUCUUUAUCUUUUUUUGUGUAGUAAUUAUUGUGUAAUUAGUAAAUCUUGCUUUUGUUCUGUUAUUGAGAGUUUGGUGGAUAAUUUCUUUUUAGGAAUUCGGCAAAGAUAUCAUGUCCGCCUGUUUAACAAAAACAUCUUUUCUUGUUAGUUUUUGAAGUAUGGUCUGCCCACUGACUUGUUUAGUUGAAGGGCCGCGGUAUUUUGACCGUGCAAAGGUAGCAUAAUCAUUAGUUCUUUAAUUGUGAUCUGGUAUGAAUGGCUUGACGAGACAUGUACUGUCUUAGGAGUAUUGGUUUGUUGAAUUUGGUUUUUAAGUUAAAAUUCUUAAAUGUUUUUAUGGGACGAGAAGACCCUAUAGAGUUUGACAUUUAGUUCUUGUUGUUUAUUAUUUGUUUGUUUGUUUUUUGUAAUAAGAUUAAUGUUUUGUUGGGGUGAUGGGAGGAAUAUUUUCAACUCCUCUUUGUUUUUGUAUAUUUAUUUAUAUUUGUUUUGAUCC